UUAUUCAGAAAAAACGCAGCUCCUCCGGUUACUUUCAUUUGUUUUUAAUGCAGUCUUGCCCUCACUAACAUGGCGGACGAGCGGCAACGGCUCAGAGUCUAUGUUCAGAGCGCCCAAUGAGGUAUUUACAUGUCUAUGUUCUAAACUGCCAACCAACCACUGGUCCACAGAAUGAGCAGGUUUGUCCUUUGUAGUAAAAUAUAUGACACAUAUUUAAUAUUUAGUCAUAUUAGUAAUAUCUAUACAUGUAUUCAUUAUGCACACACUUCAUACUUCCAUAACUUUCUGUUUCAGGGUUUCCAAAUGUAAUUGGGUGCAUUGAUGGCACUCACAUUCCUAUUAAAGCUCCAUCAAUAAAUGAGGGAGACUAUGUUAAUAGGAAAUCUAUUCAUAGUAUCAAUGUGCAGGUAAUAUGUGAGGCAACCCAAAUCAUCACCAAUGUCGAGGCAAAAUGGCCAGCAUCUGUGCAUGAUGCCAGAAUUUUCCGCGAGUCAUCAUUAUGCCAGACAUUUCAGCAGGGACAGUACAAUGGUUACUUGCUGGGGGACAGAGGAUACCCUUGUCUGCCCUAUUUAAUGACACCCUACCCUGAACCUGAGCCUGGACCACAGACACGGUUUAACCUG
This is a long non-coding RNA of Carassius auratus (goldfish), 626 nucleotides long. RefSeq lists it as uncharacterized. The transcript is spliced from 3 exons. NCBI's taxonomy places the organism in Eukaryota, Metazoa, Chordata, Actinopteri, Cypriniformes, Cyprinidae. The record is from RefSeq and is a predicted model, not a curated record.